Molecule: ribosomal RNA, 2901 nt
Filed under: Escherichia coli
Lineage: Bacteria; Pseudomonadati; Pseudomonadota; Gammaproteobacteria; Enterobacterales; Enterobacteriaceae
Description: bacterial LSU rRNA
Rfam family: Bacterial large subunit ribosomal RNA
Source: RNAcentral
UUAAGCGACUAAGCGUACACGGUGGAUGCCCUGGCAGUCAGAGGCGAUGAAGGACGUGCUAAUCUGCGAUAAGCGUCGGUAAGGUGAUAUGAACCGUUAUAACCGGCGAUUUCCGAAUGGGGAAACCCAGUGUGAUUCGUCACACUAUCAUUAACUGAAUCCAUAGGUUAAUGAGGCGAACCGGGGGAACUGAAACAUCUAAGUACCCCGAGGAAAAGAAAUCAACCGAGAUUCCCCCAGUAGCGGCGAGCGAACGGGGAGCAGCCCAGAGCCUGAAUCAGUGUGUGUGUUAGUGGAAGCGUCUGGAAAGGCGUGCGAUACAGGGUGACAGCCCCGUACACAAAAAUGCACAUACUGUGAGCUCGAUGAGUAGGGCGGGACACGUGGUAUCCUGUCUGAAUAUGGGGGGACCAUCCUCCAAGGCUAAAUACUCCUGACUGACCGAUAGUGAACCAGUACCGUGAGGGAAAGGCGAAAAGAACCCCGGCGAGGGGAGUGAAAAAGAACCUGAAACCGUGUACGUACAAGCAGUGGGAGCACGCUUAGGCGUGUGACUGCGUACCUUUUGUAUAAUGGGUCAGCGACUUAUAUUCUGUAGCAAGGUUAACCGAAUAGGGGAGCCGAAGGGAAACCGAGUCUUAACUGGGCGUUAAGUUGCAGGGUAUAGACCCGAAACCCGGUGAUCUAGCCAUGGGCAGGUUGAAGGUUGGGUAACACUAACUGGAGGACCGAACCGACUAAUGUUGAAAAAUUAGCGGAUGACUUGUGGCUGGGGGUGAAAGGCCAAUCAAACCGGGAGAUAGCUGGUUCUCCCCGAAAGCUAUUUAGGUAGCGCCUCGUGAAUUCAUCUCCGGGGGUAGAGCACUGUUUCGGCAAGGGGGUCAUCCCGACUUACCAACCCGAUGCAAACUGCGAAUACCGGAGAAUGUUAUCACGGGAGACACACGGCGGGUGCUAACGUCCGUCGUGAAGAGGGAAACAACCCAGACCGCCAGCUAAGGUCCCAAAGUCAUGGUUAAGUGGGAAACGAUGUGGGAAGGCCCAGACAGCCAGGAUGUUGGCUUAGAAGCAGCCAUCAUUUAAAGAAAGCGUAAUAGCUCACUGGUCGAGUCGGCCUGCGCGGAAGAUGUAACGGGGCUAAACCAUGCACCGAAGCUGCGGCAGCGACGCUUAUGCGUUGUUGGGUAGGGGAGCGUUCUGUAAGCCUGCGAAGGUGUGCUGUGAGGCAUGCUGGAGGUAUCAGAAGUGCGAAUGCUGACAUAAGUAACGAUAAAGCGGGUGAAAAGCCCGCUCGCCGGAAGACCAAGGGUUCCUGUCCAACGUUAAUCGGGGCAGGGUGAGUCGACCCCUAAGGCGAGGCCGAAAGGCGUAGUCGAUGGGAAACAGGUUAAUAUUCCUGUACUUGGUGUUACUGCGAAGGGGGGACGGAGAAGGCUAUGUUGGCCGGGCGACGGUUGUCCCGGUUUAAGCGUGUAGGCUGGUUUUCCAGGCAAAUCCGGAAAANAAGGCUGAGGCGUGAUGACGAGGCACUACGGUGCUGAAGCAACAAAUGCCCUGCUUCCAGGAAAAGCCUCUAAGCAUCAGGUAACAUCAAAUCGUACCCCAAACCGACACAGGUGGUCAGGUAGAGAAUACCAAGGCGCUUGAGAGAACUCGGGUGAAGGAACUAGGCAAAAUGGUGCCGUAACUUCGGGAGAAGGCACGCUGAUAUGUAGGUGAAGUCCCUCGCGGAUGGAGCUGAAAUCAGUCGAAGAUACCAGCUGGCUGCAACUGUUUAUUAAAAACACAGCACUGUGCAAACACGAAAGUGGACGUAUACGGUGUGACGCCUGCCCGGUGCCGGAAGGUUAAUUGAUGGGGUUAGCGCAAGCGAAGCUCUUGAUCGAAGCCCCGGUAAACGGCGGCCGUAACUAUAACGGUCCUAAGGUAGCGAAAUUCCUUGUCGGGUAAGUUCCGACCUGCACGAAUGGCGUAAUGAUGGCCAGGCUGUCUCCACCCGAGACUCAGUGAAAUUGAACUCGCUGUGAAGAUGCAGUGUACCCGCGGCAAGACGGAAAGACCCCGUGAACCUUUACUAUAGCUUGACACUGAACAUUGAGCCUUGAUGUGUAGGAUAGGUGGGAGGCUUUGAAGUGUGGACGCCAGUCUGCAUGGAGCCGACCUUGAAAUACCACCCUUUAAUGUUUGAUGUUCUAACGUUGACCCGUAAUCCGGGUUGCGGACAGUGUCUGGUGGGUAGUUUGACUGGGGCGGUCUCCUCCUAAAGAGUAACGGAGGAGCACGAAGGUUGGCUAAUCCUGGUCGGACAUCAGGAGGUUAGUGCAAUGGCAUAAGCCAGCUUGACUGCGAGCGUGACGGCGCGAGCAGGUGCGAAAGCAGGUCAUAGUGAUCCGGUGGUUCUGAAUGGAAGGGCCAUCGCUCAACGGAUAAAAGGUACUCCGGGGAUAACAGGCUGAUACCGCCCAAGAGUUCAUAUCGACGGCGGUGUUUGGCACCUCGAUGUCGGCUCAUCACAUCCUGGGGCUGAAGUAGGUCCCAAGGGUAUGGCUGUUCGCCAUUUAAAGUGGUACGCGAGCUGGGUUUAGAACGUCGUGAGACAGUUCGGUCCCUAUCUGCCGUGGGCGCUGGAGAACUGAGGGGGGCUGCUCCUAGUACGAGAGGACCGGAGUGGACGCAUCACUGGUGUUCGGGUUGUCAUGCCAAUGGCACUGCCCGGUAGCUAAAUGCGGAAGAGAUAAGUGCUGAAAGCAUCUAAGCACGAAACUUGCCCCGAGAUGAGUUCUCCCUGACUCCUUGAGAGUCCUGAAGGAACGUUGAAGACGACGACGUUGAUAGGCCGGGUGUGUAAGCGCAGCGAUGCGUUGAGCUAACCGGUACUAAUGAACCGUGAGGCUUAACCUU